RNAcentral lists this long non-coding RNA (256 nucleotides) under Sorghum bicolor (sorghum). RNAcentral's name for it is "long non-coding RNA (SBIC_LNC006756)". Lineage: Eukaryota; Viridiplantae; Streptophyta; Magnoliopsida; Poales; Poaceae. The record is from RNAcentral.
GGUUAUCCAGAGUAUCGUAUUUAUAUUUUUACCAUUGGGAGAAAGCGUGCAUCUGACUAACCAAAUCUAUUGCUACUACCCUUUAGGCUACAAAGAAUGUUUCUCGAUGUGAGCGAUGUAUAGAGAAGACUGUAACCGUAGUCUCGUUCUAACCUUGGUAAGGAUGAUCUACUAUUCUAUUGGGGAGGCUCACGGAAUCUAGACACCACAGAGGAUGUUCGACCCGCACCUAUAAACCCUACCCGUCCUGCUAACA